This 1000-nucleotide long non-coding RNA is filed under the name Chinchilla lanigera (long-tailed chinchilla). RNAcentral describes it as "lncRNA (ENSCLAG00000026885.1)". The record is from RNAcentral. Lineage: Eukaryota; Metazoa; Chordata; Mammalia; Rodentia; Chinchillidae.
CAGCCACAACUGCCAUCCCAGGCACUUGGCUGGAGACAGCGAGCAGCCAACAUGCUCUGCUGCUUUCCCAGGCCUCGAGGCCCCAGCCUCAGGACCGCGCACGGAAAAGCCACUUGGGAGCGAGCGAGAGGAUGGUUCGCUCGGCCCAGAUGCUUCAGCACCCGCGCCAGGAACCGCCCAACUGUCAUGGGCAGCACAGGGCAGGGCUCGGCAGCUCCGGCCCCCAGGCGCCCAGAGACAAGAGGGAGCCCAGGACAGGUGUCCCUAGGCUCUGCCACCAGCCACUCUGAACCGUCGUGUCCAGGACAGGCCCAUUUAGACCUGGCCACCACUAUUGGAAGUCAGUCAGCAGAGAGCCUGGCAGAGGUCUGCACAGUGAGCACGGUGCAGGCAGGGCCGCCACACACUCUGACGGAGCCCCUGGAGCCGGCCUUCCUGGACAGCGGCCCCAGCCCCGGCCCCUUCUUCCUGGACUCCUCAAGGGCCGACACCUCCACCCCACAGGCCCUGAUGGUGGGAAGGUCCACCGCUCCUGUCCUUGACUCUGCACUGGAGCUGCACUCCCAGGUGGAGCCCCAGGCUGAGCUUCUCCUGGAGCCCGCUGAGCCCCCUGAGGCUGAGCCCCGGGCAUCAGCUCCAGCCCACGCUGAGGUCCCAGCUGUAGAGCUGGUGCCAGCUCCACCUGCCGCUCCCUCACAAGCUCUGGCCCCACAGCAAGAGCCGGCACCUGGAUCCCCUUUGCCGCCAGCUGCAGAGCUGGAACUCCUGGAGGCUCCACAGCAGGAGUCACCUCUUGAGCUCUACCUGGAGGCAGCUCUUGACCCAUACCUUCCAUUCCCUUGUCUUCCAGAUUUACUUCUUAUUGUAUUUACUGCUGCCCUCACUUCCCUGAGAUAUGCCGAUGAUAGAAUUUAAAUAAAAUUUAAGGUUUAGUCUUUUAAAAAAAUGACUGGUAUGGCCUUAAGAGCAUUCUCAAUAUUGUACAACCUUUACCACUGUU